RNAcentral lists this ribosomal RNA (262 nucleotides) under uncultured bacterium. Its description in RNAcentral is "partial 16S ribosomal RNA". It matches the Rfam family "Bacterial small subunit ribosomal RNA", at positions 1229 to 1500 of the family's 1533-position model. The record is from RNAcentral.
UAGGCAGGUACAGAGGGAUGCUACCGGGCGACCGGAUGCGGAUCUCGAAAGCCUGUCCCAGUUCGGACUGGAGUCUGCAACCCGACUCCACGAAGUUGGAUUCGCUAGUAAUCGCGCAUCAGCCACGGCGCGGUGAAUACGUUCCCGGGCCUUGUACACACCGCCCGUCAAGCCAUGGAAGCCGGGGGUGCCUGAAGUGCGCUGCCGCAAGGAGCGCCCUAGGGUAAAACCGGUGACUGGGGCUAAGUCGUAACAAGGUAUC